This 247-nucleotide unclassified non-coding RNA is filed under the name uncultured fungus. RNAcentral describes it as "sequence contains ITS1". Lineage: Eukaryota; Fungi. The record is from RNAcentral.
UUUAGCUAUUCUUGUAUCGCUCAGACUUCACUGUUUCAAAGGUUUUGUUGUGGGCUUCCGGCAGGCGCUCGCCGGGCAGGACCACCGGGGAGGUGACCACGACCGGUGAGGACUCCCCCACGCCCGGGGGCGGUGGGCUCGUCCUCGGCCUGCCAAAGCAACAGAGGUAUGUAUUCACGGGUUGGGAGUUUCGGGCCACGAGGACCCUUGCUCUUUAAUGAUCCCUCCGCAGGUUCACCUACGGAGA